AUCCAUCUGAUGAGUUCCGAAUAGAAUGAAACGCGCGUCUUGAAU
Molecule: non-coding RNA, 45 nt
Filed under: Schistosoma bovis
Lineage: Eukaryota; Metazoa; Platyhelminthes; Trematoda; Strigeidida; Schistosomatidae
Also listed under: 1 other name
Source: RNAcentral